Felis catus (domestic cat) is the source of this 18841-nucleotide long non-coding RNA. RefSeq lists it as uncharacterized. The record is from RefSeq and is a predicted model, not a curated record. The transcript is spliced from 20 exons. Lineage: Eukaryota; Metazoa; Chordata; Mammalia; Carnivora; Felidae.
UGCCUCCUCGCGGACCAGCCUCACGGUGCGAAGCGGCAGACGGUCGCGGCUCCGCCCCAGCCUGGACCCGCAGCCUGCAGCCCAAGGUCACCAGCGGGGUCUCCUUUCCCACGCGGGGAGCAGCCGUCCUGUCCGCCGCCUCCUCCCUCGGCACCGCGUCCCUGAGCCAGCAUUCCGUCCGAGUGUUGUUGCACCUUCCUUCCUGGACUUGCCUGGGUCACGCACUCAUGCCCGAACAGGCACGGCGGCCUGAGGGAGACAGCGUGCUGUUAACUCAGGCCACGUAACGGGUUGCUUCCCAGCCACGGAUGGAGUCAACUUCGACUUACGUGGGCUGCAGGAGCUAAUCUCCAGGGACACACUUGGACCCUCGCCAGCCCAGGGAUCGCACCUCGGGAUCUACAGAACAUGGCUCACGGACUUGUCUUCAUCUUCCCUAGCUCCCCCGGUUGCUGAGGCAGUGGAUUUCAAAGACCCUGUGAUGCCUCGUGGGAGAUUCCAGACUUCAGCAUCAGAAAUGUAUUUGAACCCACCAGUCUCAGUAGUGUAUUUGUCACAAACGGGGCUAAACCGACCAGCACGGCCAAGUUACAUCUGGGUAAUGAGCCAAGAGUCUGCUCUUCCCACUGAAAGUGGGAUUUAACUUGGCAUUUCAUCAGAAAGAGGAGAAGAUGCAUGUGUUUUCACAUCUUCUCAUUUCCGACCGUCUGAGCAUCAGUCAGCACCCCAAGUUAUCAAGUCAGAAUGCAGUGGAACUGUUCUGUGAGGUGUGGAGCCACAUUCCUGAUUCGGGUUCCUUGGAGCCCUGAGCAGACGGAUCUCCCGUGGACCCGCCGGAACACGGAGCUGAGAGCCUGCUCCGUGUCAGUGAGGCCACUGUGGCUUUCAGGGCAUUUGACAUCGAGCACGUGUUUUCGGGGACCCAGAAGAAGAGCCUUCAGGGCUCUUUGAGGAAGGACUUGCAAGAGAAGAAUCCUCCACCCCAAGGGAACACAGCAUCGUGUCUUGCCUGGUGCCCGCACAGCCCCCUGACUAGUCUAGUGGCUUCCACAGAUGUUCCCUCGCCCCCUCUGCACUCCUGGGGCAGACUGAAUGAGCUUUUAAAGAAACACAUCUCAUCCUUUGCCCCUUCUGCUGGGGACCUGCCCUGCUCCCCUCACACCUGAUUGUUGAAGCACGUGUGGAAGACUCACCAGGCCCUUGUCGGCGCAUCGGCAGACUGGAAACCCUGCUCGCCUUUUCCACGUGGACCAGUGUCCUCACGCCGGGGCCUGGCCAGGGGCUCGCUCCCCAUGUCUGAGGGCGCCGAGUCCCCGCUGCGGCCGCUGGCUCAGGGCCCAGCUGGGGUCCGACGGAGGGGGCGGCAGAGCGGGGCUGCAGGGCAGGAGUGCUUCCUGGUGGCGAUGGUGAGGCGGCCUCCUGAGGACGCUGGUGAUGGGGCAGCGUCUCCCCUCCACUCUCCUCUCGUGCCUUCAUCGGUAAGGAUGUUUGAACACGAGUGACCCUGACUAACCCUGGCUGCUUGAUGCAGAAGAGGAAACAGCUCGGGUGACCUGGAAGGGCAGUGGGGGCAGGGCUGACCGAAUACCAUCAGAACAUCCCCUCCCAGCUCUGGUGGCAGCUUCACUGCAGCCAGAUAGAGGGUGCACAGCCGGCUGGGUCCCUGGUGACAGGAGUCCCCUCCAGGGGGCUGGUGCCCUUGGUGAGAAUCAGGGUGCAAUGAGCCAGGAGGUGGGUCUGGAGAUGCGGGUGCAAGUUCUUCUGAGCUCUGGGCCAGGCGGGUGGGCGGGGCGUGGGCACAGGGCGGGGGGGCAGGUGAGUGAGGCCCAGGUGACGUACUUGUGACCCCCUUCAGCGGGGCGCUAGUAGGUCAACGUGAGGCAGAGGGAUGGACAGAAAUGUGAGUCAGCGGGUGAGGGGCAUGGAGGUCACCGGUUAGGACCCUCCUGGGCAGCUCCGCGGGGCAGAAGCCAGGCCCCUUAAAGCCUACUUUCCACUCUGAGUGGAACUGAUCGCCAUUAGCAGAAAAUAAAAUGGAAACGUUUGGCUUGUUAUUCGUGACAGCCCCAGAGCCAGGCUCUAAAUUAGAUCAGCCUCUCGCAGUGUUUUAAACCUGUGCCGGCUCUCACAGAAUAGAAAAUAUUAUCUCCUUGGGAGGUGCCGCUGCGGGCCCCUCGGGGCCGUGUCUCUGGUUGAGGAGCUGGGUAUCCGCAAAUGUUCCAUCCGAGGACGUGUUAGGGAAGUCCGCUUUGCAGUUUGUGUUAUUAAAACAAUAUUUUUCCCAGCGGAAGACUGUUUGAGAGAGACACAGAGAGAGAGAGAGACAGAGAUUACUUAUAUCGAUCAUAAACUCUUUUGGUCAGAUCUAGGCUAUAAAGCAGUUUAAUAAAUUAGCAAGGAAGGUUUUUUUCUGGCUGUGGAAAAUGUGUGUCUCCUGAGAAAUGCUGUUGGAAACAAGCGGUUAGGAUGGUUAGUGCUCACCCUGUACCGUUACAGAGGAUGUGGCCGCAAAGCCCGCUGCCCCGGCCCUGCAGCCGAUGACUCAGGAGUGGGAGUGGGGAGGACACAGCGUGUAGCCUCGGCAUCCAAGUGAAGAGUGGGCUUCCGUUCUGGGCACUGAUUUGACAUGUGACCCCAGUGGAUCCCCCCUUUCCAGCCCCCCUCGCAGCCCCCUCUCCUCCCACCUCCCAGAGCACGGGGCCUCUAGCCUCCAGCCAGGACCCCCAGGUGGAGUCCCCACAGCGGCGAGGGGACGGCUCCUGUGAGAACAUCCCGUGGGGCAGGGGCGGCGGGGGCUCUGCUGAACUUCACUCGUGCCCCUGGGCCCUGCUGCUCAGCCUCGGCAGAGAGGGGCUGUGAGGCCCUGCCUGAGCACCAGGCUAGCGUGACUCUGCGGGCCGCGCUCAGGCCUGGGUGCUCGGCGCAGGGGGAAUGGGGAGUGGGCGUCCCCAUCGCUGUCCUUGCGGCCAGACCUGCCCACGUGCUCUCCUGGGGCAGCCGCCUUUCUCCCGGGCAGUAUCUGGACGGGGGUCCUGUGGGCCGACAGCCUGAUACGUGGUGUUAAGUUCUGUGAGGGCCUGACGUUUUACUUCUGGUUCCCUUCCCUCUUAGUCUCCCCUGGCAGCAGCGGCAUUUGAGGGUACGAGGGUGAGAAGUAUGUGAUUUUGUGCUUGUUCAGAACCAACAGCCAGCCCGAUGGGAACUCACUUUGCUCGCCACCGGACCCAAGGAGAGCAGUCCAGGGCUGGUGUGGCCACCGAGGUGCCCUGAGCAUCUGCCACGGCGUGUGGCCUGGGCAUCCCAUGCUCCUCUGUGCUACAAUAGGGCUGCUCCACCUCUCCCAUCACAGCUGCGUUCCUGGCAAGACAACAGUGAGGCCGAGUCCACCCCUUAAAGGAACCUGCCACCUAGGAUUCCCGCUCCUCUGCCCCCAUCGGGUUGGUGGGAACCAUGUAGGUGCCUGAGGCUGACUGUGUCUCCACCAGGCGGGGCCCCUUGCUGCACCCUGCAAGCCUCGGCUCAGAAGCCACCUCUCGGCCGACACAGGGAGGCCCCGCAGAGCCACUCUCAACUCCCGCAGGCCCUGAUGGUGCCUGAGCAAUGCGCGUGCCCCUUCCCUCCAGGCUCGGGUGCUCAGGUGCCGAACGGACAGAGCCCCGAGGACGCGCCAUGUCCCCUGUAGCCAGAGUAGGUGGUUUCCAGGAAUAGACUUGGAUUCCUACGGUUUCACCUCCAAAUUCUCGUGUGUGUGCAUGUGUGCGUGUGCAUGUGCAUGUGCGUGUGCGUGGAGGACGCUGUGUUUCCGUGUGUGCCCUCCAAAACAAACUCCCAGGACAACUGGGCUGGGAAGUGCCAUGUCUCUCCCUCCCUGUUUGAGAUUCAUAAACACAUUAGCUCAUAAAAUCUCUGAGCAACCCAGUGUCCUCUAGAAGAGGAGAAGAGAGAGGUUCCCCGUGGUCAGGCCAGAGCUCCCCAGGGUGCUAUUGAACUUGGGGCUCUUUAUACAGAAUGACUAAGAGCUCUGGGAAACGCUGAUCCAGAGCAAGUUUUUAAAUCUUCGUUAUUAGUAUGAGAGUUUCUUCCAAUUCCCCAUCCCCGAGCAGACCCUGACAUGGCAUUGAAAAAUACCAGGCAGGUUUGUCUUUGUCUUAAUACGAUCUCAAGUGGCAGAAAGAAACACAACUCAAAGCAGCUCUCGCAAAUAAUAGAAUUCACUGCCUCGUAUAACAAAAACGUGGAGGGUGACGGCUUCAGACGUGGCUCGAUCCAGGGGCUCCUGUGACAGUACCGCGGUUUUGUCUUCCCUUUCUGUCUCACAAAUCUGAUUCCCUUUUCGUGCCGUGGGUCUCCAUGUGGGAUCCGAGUCUCACAAAUACCUGCAUCUUCUAGAAAGCUCAGCGCUCUUCUUUCUCAGUCAUUUAGGUGGAAAAUCAAGAGUGUUGUGCUCCGCCCAGGGCUCCGUGUCCGCCUCUGGGUUUUCCAGGAUCUAAAGUUGAAGCAGUGGCCAGCCUUUCAAAGGCAAGGACCUACGUGGCUUCAUCCACGAUCUCACUACCACCAAAAACAUCUUGAGGAAAUCAUCACAAAAGGAAACAGGGGCAGUCCGAGUCAGACAUUAUUUGUCCCAAGGAGGAUGUGAAAACUCAGUAGAGAUUUAAGAUAAAGGCUUCACUGCAAAUCUUCACUGCACCACCAGAGCUCAGAGAGAAGCGUACACACGACAAAUGUCUGACACAAACGUGUUGACGUUCUUCUCUGCGGACGAUCGAAGGGUAACGAGUUACAACGGGGACGUGCGGUGCAAACGAGGCUCAGUGCGGCACCCCAUCUCCCCCUCCGGAACAAGCGUGAAGACGCGCUGAGGGUCCUUGUCACCCCACAGCCUGGUGUCCCAACUCGGCUGGCCCGAGCAUCCCCCUCUCAGGCUGGAAGGGAUCACUGGGCCCCAUGUGACCCUUUCCCACUUAACCUCCGAGUCCCGGGGCCGGUGUCAGUCGGCCUGUGUGUGGGUCACAGCCGCGCUGUCGGUGCGGCCAAUCGAGGGCCAUGCCUGGGCCCGCCCGCUCGCCCGUGAACUUCCCCUGGGUGUGAAGGGCCGUGUGUCACCUGCGCACGCCCUACCGUGUGACGGUGCUGUCGCCCGUGUCCCCUGAUCCCACGCUCCCUCCGUGCUACCUGGCGCGUACCUCGUGCGCGUGCUGCUAGCUCUGCCCGGGCUCCACCUGAGCGUUUACACCGUGACCGCCCGCCUGUCAGGUGCCCCCACUGGGGUGGGGGGUGGGAUGCUCGCACUGCAGUCUGUGACGGCCGUGUCCCCGCUCUCUCUGGGUCACCUGCAGUACCUGCACACGGCCCGCUGUGGUGUCGCUCGCCUGUGUAGCACCCCCACCUUCUCUGCACCGCCCACACCCGUGUCCGCGGCUCCGAGCGCCCUCAGGUCCACCUGCUCCCACGGUCCGGCUGCUCGUGCCGCCUGGACGUCACUCCAGCUGCUGACACGCUCAGUCCCGCGUGUCCCGUCUCCUCGGGAGUUCCAGGGCCCCAGGGGGACUGAGGAGGCCGCAGAGGCAGGGGAGGCCACGGACACCAGGGAGGCCGGAGACUGGGGAGGACAUAGACACAAGGGAGACCACGGAGACUGGGGAGGCCACGGAGGUUGGGGAGACCAGAGACCAGAGAGGCCAGGGAGUCCGCGGAGACCAGGGAGAACACGGGCAUUGCCCCUCGGUCCCCACAGCCCGGGCGCUGCUCACGUCCCCGAAGGUUGAGAACAAGCCCGACGGUGGAGGCUCAGGGCUGCGCUGGGAGGAGCACGACCCAGAUGCGGCUCCCGAUCGUCCCACCGCAGGCAGCAGGGAGGGUCCUCGAGCUGGAAGUGACAGUAGCCACCGCAGACCGGCCCUGCCCUGCACACUCAGGCACGGCUGGAUCCAGCCCUCCAGCGAUGGCAUCAGAACGUCCCUCUCAAAUCUUGGUCUUCGUCGGGUCUGGGUUCUGGAACCGAGGGGUCCAGGGAGUCCGUCACCUCACACCUCCGGGCCCUGCACGGUGACAAGACAGCGGCGGGCGGCGUGAGUCCUCAGCUCCUCCCGGAAGCCAGGCCUUCCCCUCAGCGAGCCGCAAAGCCCGACACUCACUGCGAUUGGAUGGGGUGGAGGCACGUGACUGGGCCUGAACCAAUCCCUGCAGCCAGUGGGACGGGCCAGAGCCUUUCCUGUUGGACCUGGGACCAACGCUGAUGCUCACUCUGAUUCGUCUGGGCAGGGACUUGUGACUGUCCCGGCCCCAAUCACCGUAGGCAGUGUGGGCCUUCCUUGACCAGACCUGGGUCCCCAAAUCCCCUGCGGCCAAGGUGUCCCUGGAUCGCGGGUCUGACCUCGGGGACCGUGUUUCCAGACGACACAUGGGUGGACCUAGAAGGAAAGGUGGAUGCUGGGACGCCGCCUGCAGUCUGAAGGCUCGGCUUCAGUGCAUCAGCGUGAAGAUCUGUGAAGAUCCCAGCCUUGUGUGACUGAGUUAAGUGUACCGCGAUCUGGAAGGACUGCACACGCUAAUGGAUUUGGAUUUGUAACCUGAUGCCUGGCUUUGGAAGCUGCUUCGUCAUCCACAGGCAUGGCUCCCUAACAGAGAGCCGCAGACUGAGGAUGUGGGUGCCGGCGUGAACCCGGACGCUGGUGUUCUCCACUCCACGUGAAGCCAGAGGUGCUGUCUAAUGAAGUGGAAAGUCUGGCAGAACUUCCAGAAGGAAGGCCUGAGACGGGGUGACAACAGCCCAGGGUCCUGUGUCCAGAUGAGGGGAGCACAGCAGAAGCCGACCUCCAGCUGGCACAGACCGGAAGGUGCCCCACCUGAUGCCAGGUGUGUGCACAGGUGCUGGGGUGGAUGUGAGGUCGGGACGGGACACAGAGGAGGAUGCGGUGAGCAGGCUGGGUCCCCCGUCCGCUGAAGCGAAGGACCGGCUGGGUCACCACAGACCCCCACCAGGAACCAGCCUCCGCUGUUGACGACACACUUUCUGAUGCCCACGCUGCCCUCUGCCUAGCAAACAGGGCAGAGGUUCCACAGCCAACCCCCGAGAAGUGGCGAGAAAGGACAGGGAUUGGGAAAACGUGUGACGUGCUCGAGUUACUUUGUUUUCUAAAAGGCUGUCCUCUUUGUGCCCUAGCUGGGAAAAUGACAACGUCUGAAGAUUUAUUUUGUUAAGAAAGCUAGUCUUUAUGUUCUGGGCUUUUCACACAUUUUGUAAAGGUUCCCAGGGACAGCUCGUUCUGUCUCUACGGGCAAGUCUGCUUCACACACCAGUAUUUAUUGUCUGGCCUGGGAACCUCCCCCCACUUUCUGGUCAUCACCGGCUGCACCUGCUCCGGUACUGACCCCAGAACGUCCUCUGUGGUCUGGGGCCGGCGACAGCGUCCUCUAACGUCCCACGGAGAAUUCUUGGAUGAUGCGGAGCCUGCGUCCGAGGGAUGGGCGAAUGCGGUGGGUACGGAUGCCCCUCAGCGUGGCCCUGCCCAGAUGUUCCCAGCGCCCCUGGGUGCAGGCAUCUCUCCAUCCUCUCUCCUUGCUGUCCCCUCAUCCCACAGGAGGGAGGGGGUGGGCUCCAGGCUGCCAGAGCCCCGCCCCACCCCUCCUUGCCCCAGCCUUCCUGGGGACAAACCAGCAGAUGCAUCACUAGCUCCCCUGGCUGACUCCAGAACGCUCCACUGUCCUGAGAGGUCGGGAUGCUGGCCUCCAGUAGCCCAGCUGCCAUCACCACCCAUGGCUCUUCUUCCUCCUCUGCCCUGUUUGCUUCAGCAGAGGGCAGAGUGGGCCUCAGAAAGUGUGCAUCAAUGGUGAAGAUGGGUACACACCGGUCUGGGCUGACUCAGCCCGUCGUAACUUUCUGUAGAUGGGGAGGCUACAGCUGAGGGGCCAGGCUCUGCCCGCCUCCCUGCAGAGCUGGGCUCCAGGCAGGAGCCUGGGGACACAACCUGCUGGCGACAUGCAGCAUGGCUUUUCCCUCACCCUCCUGCAGACCUCCCCCUGCAUUCAUCCGGAACCCAGCCCACAUUCUCGGUGUCUAACCGGAGACAGACCGACAGACAGACAGGGCCUCACCCUGGACCUCCUCAGCGUCCACCAUCAUCCAUCAUCAUCGUUGUCGGUGUAGGCCUGAGGUCGGGCCCUUUAACGAUGACGCUCACGUGAGGUUGGGGUCAAGGAGAAGUGUGGCCAGCCCUGAGAGAAAGGCACUUCAGCCACGCCCGCCGAGGGAGCCGCACACUCAUGGCCUCCACACCGCAGAUCUGUGAGCAAACUGGGACGAUGUAUCCCCAGGCCCAGCCUGGGGAGGAGCCCUGCUGGGAGGAGCCCUGGUCUGUUGGGAAGCUGCCCCGGAGCAUCCGUGGAGGGCGUCUGCUGGGGUCCUGACGUCUGCGAGAGCGAGGACGUGCCCGGUUUUGAUCUUGCGUUGGAAGAGGGAGGGCGUGGUGAACCCCGUGUGCAGCGUGGUCAGCGCUCGGGGCCUGGUGUGGUGUCCGGCAAUGGCGGGGGUGCGGGUGCCAGCAGAGGACGUGCGGGAGCCUCUCUGGGGGUGCGGCACGGGAGCUAUUACUGGAUGGGGCUGUAGGGAGAGAGUUCCAGAAACGCAGGUGGGGCCGGGCCUGGUGCACUAGGACGGGGUGGGGACCAUGCGUGGUGGGCGCAGAGGGGGGCCCACAGGUCCCGUCCCCGAGCUCGGGCUCGAGGAGAAGCCCGCGCGGACGGGGACGAGCCCCCGCGCCUCCCGGCACUCCCUUCCCACGUGGACACGUCCAGGGUGGAAGCCAAGCCGCUCUCCCGAAGUCCCUUGCAGCUGCCCUGCCCCCACGUGACCCGCGUCCGCCAACCAGAAGCCUCCCGUGAGCCUCCGCGCGGGAAGAGAGCCGGGGAGGAAGAUGGCGCCGGGGUCUAUGAGGCCGAGUAGCCUGAGGGGACGGUGUCCCCGGCGGGCGGGGGCCGAACGGCUGCCUGGCGUCCGUGGAGGAGCCCGUGCACGCGGCCCCUGAGUCUCUGCCCACGACGGGCCGGGAGCGUCCCGACGUCCCCAGCGGCCGCCCAGGGCCACCUCCCAGGCGCGAGUUGAAAUGCGCAGGCUCAGACCCGCCCGCACCGCCUGCGUCCCAGGCCACGUGUCUCCCAGGCGCAGGGGCCGCGUGUGCGCCUUGACCUCGGGGAGCACCUGCCCUGCGCCGUGCCCGGUCCCGCUGUCGGCGCUCCUGUCGCUACAGCGGGGCGGCCCCAGGCCUCUUUGGGCCGCAGGACAAGCCCGGGGUCCGACGGCGGUGGGGAACUCGGACACCGCGUGAUCGGAGCCUGGAAAGAAAACCCCAGCCGGAUGCGGCCCGCCGAGCAGGAAACCCUGAAGUCUCCGACGGGAAACCACCGUCAGCGCUGACACACUCAGGAAGGCGGCAGGACACAAAUCAACAGGCAGACGUCACUCGCGUUUCGGAUUAAGGAAACGAUUCCUUUUAAAAUGGCGUCAAAAAGAGUAAGACAUUUAGAAACAAGUUAGGCCAACGAGACAGGAGACUUGUUCACGGGAACUACACCGUGUUACUGAACGACCACGGAAGGCGUUAAUACGCGGACAGAUGUCCCGCGUUCACGGCCGGGUGACGGGACGCCGCUAGGACGACAGUGUUCCCAAAAUGCUGGUUCCUCCGCAGGUUCACUGCCAUCACCCCCGAAGCCCUGGACACUUUUUUUGUAGAUACAGAAAAAUACAUUCCCAAUUUCAUGCGGCGUUUCAAGGGACCCGGAGUACCCGAAAUAAUUUUGACAAGGAGAAAGUUGGAGGACUCACGCUUCUUGAUUUCAAAAUUCACUGCAAAAUUACAGCAAUAGAAACAGUGUUGUUCUGGCAUAAAACACAAGUAGAGACGAGCGGAUUGGAGGAGAAAACCCAGAAAGAAGGCCGCAUACACUUGGUCAACUGAUUUCCAGCAAGAGUGCCAAAAACGGGGGAAAAGACAGGUUUUUCUUUAACAAAUGGUGUUGGGCAAACCGGACAUCCACACGUGCGCGGGAGAAAGAGGCUGGACCCUUACGUGACACCAUAUGCCCAAAUCAGCAGAAAUGGGGUCAAAUACCCAAGCGUAAGAGGUAAGACCGUAAGACUCUUAGAAGAACACACGGGAGAGAAGAUUCAGGACGUUGCAUUUGUGGUGAUUUAUUGGCUCUAACACCCAAAGCACAGGCAACUAGAAAAGCAGAUAAAUUGGACUUUUACAAAAGGAAGCACUUUGGGGCAUCAGAGGGCCCCAUCAGGGGAGUUAAAGACAGCCCACAGAAUGGGAGAAAUGUCUCCCUCACCUGAUGAGGGGCUGACACCCAGGAUCUGUAAAAACUGCUCAGCGACAAAGGAACCAUCCCAUUAAAAAAUGGGCCAAGUCUGUCUCCAGAGACGACGCACAGAUGGCCGGUCAGCGCCCGACUGGAACUCCCCUCGCUCCUCACCAGGGGACACAGGACAAUCGCGAGGUCCCGCAGCCAUCAGAAGCGCAGCACAGCGAGCGUCGGCCAGGACGUGACGCCCAGGUUGUGACGCCGAUGGCCGAGCGUGUUGCGGUGGGCGUGGGAGACAAGCAUCCCCCACGGAAACACAGGGGAGUCUCGGAAAGACCCAUGUGGCCCAGCGAUCCCACUCCUAGGGGUUUACGAGGUACUCGUGGUUCGUGAGCACGGCGGCCGCGAGGGACAAGUGACCCCCGUGUGGCCUCCCCAGCAUCGGCCCGCCCGGGGGAGACCACGGCCACCUGCGCCUGCUCGUGCGGUCAGCUCUGCGGCGGGGUCCCUUCCCCGACCCCGUCUCUCCCUGGGGGGCCGGCCUCCCGCCCCUGGCGAGCGGCCCAGCCCCAGGUCUUGAGAUCUGGCGCUUUGCAAAACUACGUUUCUCUGCAGACCAGAGGCGUUCCGCUCAAGCAGCAGACUCUCGUAAUGGCUCAUCUUGGGAUCUGAGCAGAUAAUGCUUCACGGGAGCCUGUGCAGGGGAAGUUAAGGCAAAAAGUUACUGCAUUUCUGGGCUCCUCUUGCCAAAGGCACGAGGCCCUGCUUCUUAUUGGUUUCCCGCGGGCAGGUUUAUUAUUGCGCUUCCUCUUUACUGCUGGUCUCAGUGGAACCAGGGCAGUUUGAGGGGAGAGUCAGAUUCCCCACCUCCGUGCCGUGUCGUCCUUCCACAUCGCGCAGCAAUGCGGAGCCUCGGGUGGCAGAGGGCCGUCGGGACACAGGACGGGGCAGCCAGGCGGGGCGGUGGGGACCAGAGCUUGCGCCCCCCCUACCGCCACCCCCUCACCCCCCCCCGAGGGGACCCUGGUGGUUGCCCGGUGGACGGAGUCCAGCGUUGACGAGCCCGCGACCGUUCCAGAGCGUCCAGGUGUGGCACCCUCAGGUGAGAGCUCGGGUGUGUCCAGGUGGCUCUCGUGCAGCACACCCUCUGUCGCCCCGGAUCCACUGUCCCCCGUGUUCACCCCACUCCCUCCCCGCGCCUUGACCUGCGGGCCGUGUGGCCGGGGCUCCCACAUCCUGCCUUGUGGUCAAGCCCCACCCGCGGGGGCCCCCAGAGCUGCGGGUGGGGAGAGAGGCUGGGCCAUCCCUGCUGGCUGUGCCAGGGGCAGGAACUCUGGUCAACAGCCCAGGGCCACCGAGCCUGUGAGCCCUGCCAUCUCUCCAGACCUUGCAGCGCUGUCCCUUCCCUGCCUCUCAGGCCCAGGGGAACAGCUCCCGGGGGCUCCUCUCUGGUUUCCUAACUUCUCUGCUGGAUCCUCUGAAAGGAGCCCCUUCUGUCACAUGUCUUGUGUCUUCCUCUGAACCUCCGGGUGCUGUAUUUCCUGCUGGGACAGGGACAGACAGCGCCUGGAUUAAACAAAACAAAGAGAUGCCUCAUGAAUCCCUCCCCCGUCUGACAAAGAAAUCAACCUCCCCCUCCAGUAAAGGGAACCAUCUGUGCGUCUGUGUCUGGACUUUGCCCCUGAACUAGCAUUCGGGACCGGAUCACAAGGUCAGACAGUGCCCGCCUCCCACGCCAUUGUGGCCACGAUGUGGCCCUUGUACGGGCCUUUCCUGCAGGCUGGCCGAGGUCAGCUGAGGCCGGCAGGGCACAGAAGGGGAGGACGGGGCGUCUGGCCCAGGAAUUCCUGAGAGGCGCAUCCUGGGGCCGAGUGGGAGGUACGUGAGCCAUCGGGUGGUCCCCGAAGAGAAUGGAGGCUCCUCCAGAGGCUACAAGAGGCUCUAUGUGGCCACCUGUUCCACUAACUUGGGGCUUCCAGCUGGGCCACAGCCUGGGAGCUGGACACGGCAGCCGUGUGUGCGUGGCCGGGACCUGCUGCCACGCCAGCUGCCACUUGCGGCCUCCUGAGCAAAUGUGGCCCUCCCAGCACAAGAAGCCCUGGGCAGCUCCUGGCUCUGUGGGGCCCUGUGAGCCCCUGGGGGGGGCACCUCCUGAGCUUGUCCUCCCAGGGUGGCCCCGGGGACUCUGAGCCAGGCAGGGCCCGCUGUACAGGCAGGGGGGCUUCAACCCCCCACCUAGAACCCACGCAUGGCUUUGCUGCGUGUCACAGGCACAGACUCCCCUCGCUGGAAAACAUAAAUGACACGAAAGUGCAUGGAGGAAAGUGGGGGGCCUGUGUCCUCAGACCCCACCCAUGGGUGGGCUGCCGAUUCUUUUCCAGUAUUUUGAAUCUUUCGCCUAUAAAUGUCACACGUGUCUAGGGCACAAAAGUGGGCCACGAUACACAGAAAGUUCUUAGUUUAACUUAACUCUGUUCCACGAGCAGCGUCCCGGUGAAUAUAGGUCCACACCCUGUUUUAAAAAGCAUUAGAGUAUUUCAUCGUGUGCACACCCCCAGGGGUGAAGUCACCACUGCUGUCUUGUUGGCGUCUGAGAUGUCGUCAGCGGGCUUCCCUCCUGGGCGCCACCUGGGCGCGACCUCGCGGGGAAGAUACCUGCAGCUGGAAGGACACCCGGAGCAGCUGCGAUGUUGUCAGCAAACCGCGUGUGUCCUGUCAUCGCACUCCUGGACGCGUCACUGUGCCUCCUAACAGAAGCUGUCUGCCCCAGCACGCUUUGUCACAGUUCAUUAACAGAAUUCCUCACUCGAAUGCAAUGCUAGCCCACGUGCAGAUCCCGUCCUAAACUGUAAUUUAAUAGUGGGUUCAUUUGAACCGAGGUCCAGACAGACUCUAUGUGUCGUGUAUGAACACCGCGUCCCCCGAGUCCCUCCAGAUCUGGUCGCGGUCCCUCCCUCUCCCACAUCAUGGGUUUCCACCCCCCAGGUCGACUAGCGGAUGAAAUCAUGCAGGGGUCGGGGGUCUCUGUUCCAGCGCCCCGUGUUCUCAUUUUAGGCUCCCACACUCCUGCAGCUUGAAGUGAACUCUAACAGCCGCGUCGACUCAGGUUGGUUUGUCUCUGUGACUACUUCACAGGCGAAGGUGGCGUCGGUCGUGUCGGGAAGCGCGUCCCGGCUGUCCACCUCACUUCCUAGGAUGCUGAGGCCGCUCGGUGAUUCAGGUGGUACCAGUCUGCCCCCAGUGGGCUUUAUACCCAGCGUGGAUCCCAGAGCGGGACUUGAAGUCAUGACCCUGAGAUCAAGACCUGAGCUAAGGUCAAGAGUCAGGUGCCUAACCGACCGAGCCACCCAGGGUUCCCAGAUUUGCACACUCUGGACAUUUCAUAUGAAGGUAAUCGUACGGGAUGUCUCUCUAAUUCCAUGGGUCCGUCUACACUGGCCUUGCAGAUCUCCCUCGUUCCCAGGAGUUGCUAUACUGAACUGGUAUGUUGCUGUAAUGCCCCAAAGGUUUCUUUCCUGAUUUGGACUGCCUUACUAAUUCCCCACUUUGUCUAAACUAACCAGUGAUACCCCCUAAUUCCCUAGAGGUGUCUGCUCUGAACAGGUUGCGCUCCGUAAUACGCAGGCAUGUCUCCCCUCGCCUAGGCUGUCACCCCAUCCUCCCGUGUGGAUCCACCUGUACUCGGGAUGGCUCCCUAAUUAGUCCCUGAUCAGUCCACCCUGCUGUGAUGUGUCUCUAUUGCUCCGAUAUGGGUUGUCUAAUCCCCAGGUGUGUCUGUGCUCACUGGGGAUGUUGGGGAUGUUUCAGUAACUCCCUGUAUGUGUACACUCUUCCCGAAUGUUUUCCUAGCUCUCUGGUUUGCCUAUCCUGACCUGCUAUGGCCGCCUAAUUCCCCAGUGUGUCUACUUUGACCUGAUGUCUUCCUAGUUCUCUAGGUGUGUGUCCCUGACCUUGGAAGCCCCCAUAAUAUUCCAGGUGUCUACACUGACCUGAGUUGUUUCCUUAAUUAGCAAACGUGUCUACUGUGGCAUGGGUUUUCUCCCUAAUUCCCCAUUUUUACACACUGACCCGGGACAUGUUUCUAGCUGUCGAGAUGUGUCUCCACUGACCAGGGACGCGUUCCUAAUACCCCAGCUUUGUAUACUGUGUUCUGGGAUCUUUCUCAUAUUACUCAGUUUUGUCCCCCUUGAGUUGGGACAGCUCAUUAAGACCCCCGUUCUGGCUACUCUGUCCCUACUUCCAGUGGAUGUCUGACCUGACCUGGUGUGUAACCGACAUCUCCAGGUGUGCCGUGACCCCUCACGGCUCUCUUACCUUUAUUAUGUGCACACUGCUUUCUGAUUUCUUUCUCAUUACCUAGUUGUGCUAUCCUGACCCGGGACAUAUCCUCAUUUCCUCAGAUUUGUCUACCCUAACUGGAGAUACCUCCGUAAUUCCUGAGUUGUGUCGGCACUGACCUUGGAAAUCUAGUUCCAUAACUGUGUCAACACUGGCCAGGAAUGUCUCCCUGAUUUCCCAGGUGUGUUUACUGUGACCAGGAUGUCUCUCAAAUUCCACAGGUGUUUCUACACUCCCCUAGAAGGCUUCCGUGGUUCCGCACUGGUGCACACAUUGUAUGUGACGUCCCUAGAACUACAGGUGUGUCCUCUCUGCCUCCCUGAUUCUGUAGGUGUGUCUACUCCAAUCUGGAAUGUCUCUUACUCCAGCGUGUAUCUGCCUUAAAGCUGGAUGUCUCCCCAAUUCACGGUGUCCACACUGACCAGGGAUGUCUCCCUCAUUGCCCAGCUGUGUCAACUCUGAGGAUGUCUCCCUCAUUUCUUAGGUGGGUCCACAAUAGCCUGAGAUGUCUCCCUAAUUCCUCCUGCGUGUAAACAGGUCUUGGGAUGUUCUGUUAAAUCCCAAGGUGUGUGUCCUGACUUGGGAUGCCCAAUUCCAUAGAUGUGUCAACAAGGACUCGGGAUAUCUCCUUAAUUCUCCUGUGUGUCUACUCUGACAAGGGUUAUUUACCUAAUUCUUCGGUUUUGUCUGCAAUGAACUAGAUGCCUUCCUAACUGCCUGUGUGUUUACACUGACCUGUGACACAUCUCGAAUUUCACAGGAUUGUAUACCCUGGCUUUGGAUGCCUCUGUGACUACUCAGGUAAGUCUACUCAGACCCGAGAGGCCAGUCUAAUAACCCAGGUGUGUCUCCACUGAUCUGGGAUGUUGGUGUAAAUCCCAAAUUGUGUCUACCGUGACCUGGGAUGUCUCCCUAGUUCCCAGGGUGUGAGUUCUAACCAGUGGUGUUUCCCUAAUUUCUCAUGUGUGUAUCCGUGACCCGGGAUGUCUCCAUAAUUCUCCUUAUGUGUCUACCAUGAUGGGAGAUGUCAAGCUGUUCCUUAACUUUGUCUUUGACCUCAGAUAGCUCCCUAAUUUUGCCCAGGUGUGCCUACCCAAACACGGAUGUCUACCUGAUUACCCAGACGUGUCAACUCUUACCAUGGAUAAUUGCAUAAUUCUCCAGUUGUAUCUACACUGACCUAGGCUGUUUCUCUCUUUCCCCACGUGUGUCCACACAGUUUGGUUGUCUGCUCAAUUCCCUGGGCCUGUCCACACUGAUGAAGGGUGUCUCUCUAAUUCCUCAGGUUUGAUCACUCUGAAUUGGCUCGUAUCCCUUCUUUCCCGUGUGUUUACCCUGCCCAGUGAUGUCUCCCAAAUUUGCACACGUGUCUACUGUGAUGUGGAAUGUCUCCCUAAUUCCCCAGGUUUGUGUGCACUGACCUGACCUGGGAAGUCUCCCUAAUUCCACAAAUGUGCCUACACUGACCUGCAAUACAUCUCUAGUUAUUCAGGAGUUUACCUUAUCAUAGGAUGUCUGCCUAAUUUCACAGGAAUUUCUAUACAGAAUGAGAAUGACUCCCUAGAACCCCAGGUGUGUCUGCUAUUACCUGGGGUGUUUCUCUUAAUUCCUCAGUUGUGCUUACACUGACUUGGGAGAUUUCCCAAAUCCCCCAGGAGUGUCUACACUGACCUGCAAUGUUUCCCUAAUCCCCCAGGUUAAUCUGCUCUUAUCAAGGAUGUCUAAUUCCUUCAUUUCCACUUUGAUCUUGGACGUCUCCCUAAUUCCCUAGUAUUUCCUACCUGACCUGGGAUGUCUCCCUAAUUCCCUGUUUGUGUCUACUUUAAUGUUAGCUGUCACUCUAAAUUUCCGGGUAUUUCUAAUUACCUGGGUAUCUCCCUCAUUUCCCAGGUGUGUCUGGGAUAGCUUCUCAUUGUCCAAGGGGUGUUUGUAUUGACCUUUGAUAUCAUCUUCAUUCCCCAGGUGUGUCUACACUGAACUAGUAAGUCUACAGUUCCCUCAGGUAUUUCUGUUUUACCUGAAAAGUCUCUCUAAAUCCUUUGGAAUAUCUAUACUGACCAGAAAUGUUUCCUUAAUUCCCAAGUUGUGACUACACUGAACUUGGAUGACUUCUAAAUUCUCCAAGAAUAUCUAUAUUGACCUAAGAUGUCCCUUGAUAUCUGCCUAAGAUCUCAGGUUGCCUACCCUGACCAGCUAUGUCUCCAUGAUGAACCCCAUGUGUCUGUUCUGACCUGGAAUCUAGUUCCCGGUUUGGUUUCCUCGGACUUGGGAAUCUUCCUCGUUCCCCAGGUAUGUUGACUCUGACCUUGUAUGUCUCCCCAAAUUACUAGGUGCAUCUUCCCUGACCUGGCAUGACUUUCUAAUUGCCAGUUUUCUACACUGACACGAGAUGUCUCUUUUCCCUAAAAUGUGUUUACUCUGACCCAGAAUGUUGGAGCUGGUCACCAAGAGGAUGUGACCACCAGCUGAUGCAUGAGCUACACCAGGCAACUGGAGACUCGUCACCCUCCCCACCCCCACUCAUUAGCAUGUACCUUCUGCUCGCCUUCUCUGCUUUGUUCUCAGAAGCUGCCCCAAGGACAUAGCCUUCGAUUGUGAUGUGGUGUUGAGACCAUCUAGAUGGUAAUAUGUGACUGAACCCAGUUAAGGUCUCUAUUUAAACUUUCAGGGUUUGGCGAGUGGGUGAAGAGAUCUACCCGUCAGCAUCUACCCAAGACAAGUCUUGAAUGUAAGUUCUCUUGCUUAUUAAACCCGCCACCUACCAACCUGGAAUGAUCUGCCUCUUUCUUGGUCUCUCUCUGCCCUCCAGGUAGGAAUGCUGGUCUCAGAUUUCACCUGGGAAGCUCCCAAGGUUGCAACCCUGACUCUCCAGGCAUGUUUACACUGACUUCAGAUGAUUCACUGAUUUCUCAGAUGUGUCUACCCUGAUCUCUAAUAUCCCAAGUAUGUCCAUCCUGGCCUGGAAGGUCUACUUUUCAAGAGCGUCUACUCUGACCUGGCUAUCCUGCUAGCUCCCCAGAAGAGGAAGGCCUAGGUCAGCCAGUCAGCUCUCACCUGCUCCGCACAAGGUACCCGACCUGCUCCGAGACUUCCCUGGGGCCCAGAUAACAAGAGUAACCAUGCUUACCCAUCAGCAGAUGCCCAGCGAAUCUGCCCGUUCCUGCUCACGUGCCGCGGGGAAGUUCCUCUUGGAUCUGAGUUCUACUCUGUUUGCGUUUGAGCUCCCGGGUCUGAUGGGCUUUUCCUGGCCAGGAUUUAGUGGGCCAGCUGGAGCUGGCAGGUGGUUCUACAUGGACCCGAAGCCCCUAAGCCCUGCGUUAUCCACAGUCUUGACGUGUUGGGUUCUGCUGGUGGGCCCACCAUUCCACUUGGGGAACUACUGGCGGUCUUGGUGUGACCCUAAGGUAAGAGCGACAGAUCUGCCAGACAGACACCGAGGAGACAUGAGACCUAAAGUUCUAGAGAGCUGAGAGCUCCAUAUUCUUGUGCCCCAGCUCUUUAUAUGGGAAGUGGGGUUCCGGAGCGCAUACACAGUGGCAGAAAUGGCAGCAUCUGAGGGCAGCUCUGAAUCACAGCGGCCAUGGUCGGAAACCUGUGACCUAGACCAGCUUGUCCAGUUACAAGUUCUCAGCCAAGAACGCACUAGAAAGGGCAGAGGGAAAAUUAAUUUUUCCUCAUCUACAGUCUCUGGUGACCCAGACGAGACCCACUGGGACACCGCACCCACUCCGGAGCCUACACGCAGGACCCUGAGGAAGCGGAGAGGCCGGCAAAGAGAGUGGGGUCAAGUUUCAUGUUGUCUCUUCCCUUUCAAAUCCAGACUGUUGUGAAUUUGGUUUGGGGAUCCCCUCUGGUCACUGACCCUCUCCCUCCCAGGGACAGUUCCUGCUUUCCUAUUUGUCUUGCUGUGUGUCCCGGGCCUCUGGCUUGGCUGCCUGCCUGGGGCUUGCAGGCUGUGCAUUCUUGUAAGUGAAGGUCAGGGGCCCCGAGAAUAUGGCUGGCCUGAGAUACGGGUUGCACCCCCUUUGUGGCUGCCAUCCUACUGACUGUUGCCAGCUCUCAGGGGAACUUUCUCGAUCUUGCCUAUCUUUGGGAGUAGUUCUGGAUCUUGGGAAGACUAAAUCUUUUGCACCCUCCUAGGACAUACAUCUCGAGUCCGUGGAUAUGUCAUAAAAGGCUUAUUAGUUUUGCUUGA